This 68-nucleotide transfer RNA is filed under the name Homolobus sp. QL-2013. RNAcentral's name for it is "tRNA-His". Lineage: Eukaryota; Metazoa; Arthropoda; Insecta; Hymenoptera; Braconidae. The record is from RNAcentral.
AUUUAAAUAAUUUAAUUAAAAUAAUGAUUUGUGGUAUCAUAUAUAUAUAUACAUAUAUAUUUUAAAUU